CGUAGGUGGCAAGCGUUGUCCGGAUUUACUGGGCGUAAAGAGCGCGCAGGCGGCUGGUCAAGUCCGAUGUGAAAUCUCCCGGCUCAACUGGGAAACUGCAUCGGAAACUGAUCGGCUUGAAGGUGGGAGAGGGUAGUGGAAUUCCCGGUGUAGUGGUGAAAUGCGUAGAUAUCGGGAGGAACACCAGUGGCGAAGGCGACUACCUGGCCCAUUCUUGACGCUGAGGCGCGAAAGCUAGGGGAGCGAAACGGGAUUAGAUACCCCCGGUAGUCCUAGCCGUAAACGAUGAACACUAGGCGUAGUCGGUAUCGACCCCGGCUGUGCCGUAGCCAACGCAUUAAGUGUUCCGCCUGGGGAGUACGGCCGCAAGGCUA
This 374-nucleotide ribosomal RNA is filed under the name uncultured organism. RNAcentral's name for it is "bacterial SSU rRNA". It matches the Rfam family "Bacterial small subunit ribosomal RNA", at positions 526 to 896 of the family's 1533-position model. The record is from RNAcentral.